UACGUAGGAUGCAAGCGUUGUCCGGAAUUAUUGGGCGUAAAGCGCACGUAGGCGGUUUCUUAAGAUUGGUCUUAAAGACCGGGGCUCAACCCCGGGAAUGGAUCGAUAACUGGGAGACUGGAGGACGUCAGAGGAAAGUGGAAUUCCGAGUGUAGCGGUGAAAUGCGUAGAUAUUCGGAGGAACACCAGUGGCGAAAGCGACUUUCUGGGACGUUCCUGACGCUGAGGUUCGAAAGCUCGGGGAGCAAACAGG
Molecule: ribosomal RNA, 253 nt
Filed under: uncultured bacterium
Lineage: Bacteria
Description: partial 16S ribosomal RNA
Rfam family: Bacterial small subunit ribosomal RNA
Source: RNAcentral